Zea mays is the source of this 3452-nucleotide RNA transcript. RefSeq lists it as uncharacterized. The record is from RefSeq and is marked validated. Lineage: Eukaryota; Viridiplantae; Streptophyta; Magnoliopsida; Poales; Poaceae. The transcript has 7 exons.
GGGCAAGUGCGGGGGUCGUAGGGGUUCCCGAUCCUUCCUUUCCCACUUCCCCUUUUUUGCCCGCCCGCUACCCAACCGCCGCCGCGGUUCUCGCUGCCAGCGACGGACGGGCCACACCGCGCAGGGGCUCAGCCCCGCCACCCACCUUAACCCCGCCGUCGGGAGGCGUCGUCCCCGGCCCGGCCCGGCCCGGCCCUCGCCCUCUACUGCAACUGGACUGGCGCGUAGACCUGUCCCCGCCACGAGAUCGUUCCGCCCUAUGUCGGUGAAGAUGCUCUUUGCAUAGCUCAAGCUGCAAUCUGAUGGACCCUGAUGACAAGAAGUUUGGAAAUGGACCAAGGGAGCUCACUGGUGCUGUUGAUUUGAUCAGCCACUACAAACUGCUGCCACACCAUGAUUUCUUUUGCAAGAAACCUUUGCCGCUGGCAAUAUCAGAUACACAUUAUCUUCACAAUGUUGUGGGAGACACUGAAAUUCGCAAAGGAGAAGGAAUGGAGUUAGAUCAACUUGUUCAUAAUGCAUAUCUGAGGGAUAAACCUGCUUAUAUUCAGCCCUUUGAUAUGGAAACUCUGGGGCAAGCGUUCCAACUUCGAGAAACAGCUCUUGUGGAUUUGCCUUCUACUGAAAAAGGUAUACCGACUAUUUCGGGUAAACCAAAAAGUGAGUCCAAGGACAAAGAGAAGAAGCAUAAAAGGCACAAAGACAAAGACAAGGAACACAAGAAGCACAAACAUCGGCAUAAGGAUCGGAGUAAGGACAAAGAUAAAGACAAAGACAAGGAUAAGAAAAAAGAUAAAAGUGGCCAUCAUGAAAAGAAGAGGAAGCAUGAGGGAACAGAAGAUUCAGUAGAUGUGCAUAAGCACAAGAAGAGUAAGCACAAGAGCUCCAAAACCGAUGAGAUGGGGAAUGGAGUUAGUUAACACUUCCUAGCUCUACCUCCAAUCCUUGUAAUUUGCUGUUAAAACUUAAAAGGAGACAGACGGUCUCUGCUAUCAAAACCCUGUGCAGAAUAGUGCUUCAUCUCUACAAUAUCUAAAUAUGCAAUGGCAUUGACAGCUACUCAGAUUCUAUGUGGGGCUAAUUUGGUGACCAGAGAAAUGGAGGUGAUCCAUGGGGUGAAUAGCAAGGCCCAUGGAUCCCCUCCAUUUCCCUGGUCACCAAACCAGUAGGGUGUGUUUGGUUUCAGGAAUGAGGUGGUCCAUCUUCUCAUUCACUUUUUUAUUUGGUUUGUAGAACCCAACCAAUUAGGACCUUAAGCCAUUUUAAGAGGCGACAUUCCUAUGAGCUAACAUUAGUCUCAUCUGAUCUUUAGCUCCAUCUCUACAAUAUCUAAAUAUGCAAUGGCAUUGACAGCUACUCAGAUUCUAUGUGGGGCUGAUUUGGUGACCAGGGAAAUGGAGGGGAUCCAUGGGGAGGAAUCCCCCUUGCUAUUCACCCCAUGGACCCCCUCCGUUUCCCUGGUCACCAAACCCGGUAGGCUGUGUUUGGUUUCAGGAAUGAGGUGGUCCAUCUUCUCAUUCCUUUUUUUAUUUGGUUUGUGGAAUAUAAUGAGUUGAUCCAUCGCACCCCAUUCCUCACAAGCUAAUAAUUAGUAUAUACAUGUGGAACGAGUUGAUUCCACUGAAAUUUAUUUUAUGAAUUCAUCAUGCAUCACCUCAUGAACCAUAGGGUGACUCCACAAACCAAACUCACCAUUAAUUGAACUGUUCAUUAAUUAGUUGCUCGUGCGUUACAACACUUUGUAUACAUUAUAUAGAUAGUCCUUGCUUAAAUGAGAUAAUUAUUCGGUCACCAUAUAGAUUCUCAGAAUACACCAAAAAGAGACAACCGGGAACCAGGAUAGGCUCAACACAUGCACCAGCAGUCGGCGCGCCUCCGACGCCUCACACGGAUCUAAACACGCGGCGAUACGGUUCUGAGGUCGUAUCACACGGAUUGGGCUGCGUCUUGUGGUGCACCUAGGAUUUCACCCUAGAGAUAUCGUGCAACAGUGUGGCGAGGAAAGAGGCGGAGACAACGAGCAGCGAGGUAUGUGGUGUGGGGUGAGACAAGAUGAAGUUUUUUCUCUUAUUUUUUUCCACGCUCGCGAGAUUAGGGAUGGUGAUGGUGGAGUUGUUGGACUAUAGAUGGUCAAAUGGGUCGUGCUUGACGGGCUAGCUCGAGACACGAGUCAUUUAAUAGUGUUGAGGCCCGACACGUGAACCGUGUCAUGCCUAGGCCUCCUUGUCGACCCCGCAACAAUUUUAAUAGUGCAUUGAGAGACCCCACUGUUAAUAGUGUGUUGAGUUGUCACUGGUAUGCCGCGAUCUCAACUAAAACCGAGCCAUCAUGAUUUCUUUCUGUAAUAGAGCCAGAGAAACAAUAAUAUUAAGGUCCAAAGUGCAUUGAAUAAACACAACAAUGUUGAUAUCUGGUUUUAAGCCAUCAACAAACCUAUUCACAAUAGCUGACACACUAAACAAAGGAUUGUGAGCAAGUAUUUGGUGCAUAAGUGUGUCAAAUUCAUCUUGUACUUAGAGACACUGUUCGACUGCCUAACAUGAGAAACUGUCGGAUACGGUGGUUAUGUUGGUCUCUCUCAAAUCUAGCAUAAACAAUGCAUAGAAUUUAGGACAAUGAGUCUGUCUAUAAGACCAGGAUCCACAGACUGAAGCCAAAAGGCUGUCGAGCCCACAAAAUAUAUGACAACAAUUUUCACCCAUAACUGAUGGGCCACAGAAAAAACUUAAAAGUACGACUCACAUUUUGUCUUCCACAUUUUUGGAUGGUGGCCAUCAAAUCGAGGGAAACUCAAUUGAGGCAAGACAACAACCACAUGUGGAGGAUAAACUAGUAGAAGUGAAUUAGACUGACGCGGUAUAAAAGUUAAAGCAAAACCCUGAGGUAGGAACGAGUGAGUACCUGUGAUCGGACCUGUGGAGUUAGAGUGGUGACCACUUCAAAACCAGAACUUCGGUGAAACUUGGAAGCGUCCAGAUCACUAAUCCCAUAGCUGUUCGUUGCCCCGCAUUUGCGCUGAGUGAGGAAUGCGGCACUAAUGUUUUGAGGGUUGCGAUCGAAAAUCUUGAGGGCAUCCCGAAAAGGCACCAAUUCUUCCACUUUGUCGGCCAACUGUGCCACCUCAACGAGCAGAUGGUCCACUGCCACAUUCACUUGGGGCUUCCAUGCUACCAAUUUCCGCGCGACCGCGAUAUUUUCUUCAAGAGUUUGUUUGAUCAAUUUGUUCUGACUCUGCGUAUUUUGUAACAAAGUGGUGAGAUCUGCGAUAUUACGCUCCAUAGCCUCCGAUUGUUUUUGACCGCGAGUCUUGAAUUGAGGGCGACGACGGUAGUCAGGAAGGUCUGUCGGGAUUGGCCUGAAUAAUCUGCUUUUGUAUCUUUGGGCUAGUCAAAGUGCAAUUACCUGGAGCGUUGUUAAGAACAUACUUGUUGACCUCUUCACUAUUUACAGCA